RNAcentral lists this transfer RNA (106 nucleotides) under Aspergillus pseudodeflectus. Its description in RNAcentral is "tRNA-Leu". It matches the Rfam family "tRNA". From Rfam's summary of the family: Transfer RNA (tRNA) molecules are approximately 80 nucleotides in length. Their secondary structure includes four short double-helical elements and three loops (D, anti-codon, and T loops). The record is from RNAcentral. Lineage: Eukaryota; Fungi; Ascomycota; Eurotiomycetes; Eurotiales; Aspergillaceae.
GGCAAGGUGGCCGAGCGGUCUAAGGCGCUGCUUUCAAGCGAUAAGCUUCCUGUUACGGGAUACAGCAGUGGGGAAACUCUCGUGUGUUCGAAUCACGCCCUUGUCA